RNAcentral lists this ribosomal RNA (303 nucleotides) under uncultured bacterium. RNAcentral's name for it is "bacterial SSU rRNA". It matches the Rfam family "Bacterial small subunit ribosomal RNA", at positions 355 to 675 of the family's 1533-position model. The record is from RNAcentral.
UGGGGGAUAUUGCACAAUGGGGGAAACCCUGAUGCAGCGACGCCGCGUGUGGGAAGACGGUCCUCUGGAUUGUAAACCACUGUCCCCAGGGACGAAGAUGACGGUACCUGGGGAGGAAGCUCCGGCUAACUACGUGCCAGCAGCCGCGGUAAUACGUAGGGAGCGAGCGUUGUCCGGAAUUACUGGGUGUAAAGGGAGCGUAGGCGGGGAUGCAAGUUGGGUGUCAAAACUACCGGCUCAACUGGUAGUCGCACUCAAAACUGCAACUCUUGAGUGAAGUAGAGGCAGGCGGAAUUCCUAGUG